Peromyscus maniculatus bairdii (prairie deer mouse) is the source of this 6642-nucleotide long non-coding RNA. RefSeq lists it as uncharacterized. NCBI's taxonomy places the organism in Eukaryota, Metazoa, Chordata, Mammalia, Rodentia, Cricetidae. The record is from RefSeq and is a predicted model, not a curated record.
GGCACCAAAGCUACACAGAGAAACCUUGUCUCAGAAAAAACAGAGAGAGAAGAAAAAAAAGAAGUAUGAAUAUAUAUUAUUUUGUGUGUGUCUAUGUGCGUGCAUGCACUCGCGUAUCACACAGGACAUGUAUGCAGAUCAGAUGGACAGUUCUUUGCUUGAAUAAUGCUGAUCCUGUGAGGUCGACUGAACUCAGGUCAUCAGGCUUUGAGGCAGGUGCCUUUAUUGUGCUCAGUCAUGUUCAUGUAUGUAUGUUUGCCUGUAUAGCUGUAUGUGCAUGUGAGUUCAGCUGUGAGGGAGGUGGGCUUACCCUCAUGGGUGCUAGCAACUGAACUUCAACUUUUGCUAGAGCAUUUUGCACCCUUAACCACGGAGCCUGUGGUCUCCUGCCCCUGUGCCUCUUGGUACAAUAGGUAAAAUGAGAGUCUUCUUUUUAAAACGGGGGUUUUAAGCCUAUAAUUUACUUCUCCAACUAACCUGUAACAUGUGGAUAGCCACAGCAAUUACAGCCACUAUAGCAAUGCUGACGGCUAAAACUACAGAAGUUGCUCUGAUGCAGGUCUCAGGAUAAGACACAAGCCGAUCUUCUACAGAAGCAGAAAAGAAAAGAAAUUCCGGAGGAGAAAAGGAAAACAAAGGAAAGAAGGACAAGAAGAGUGGGAACAUAUGAAAGGAGCAAACACAGGACGCCGUGAGAUGAACCGCAAGUGGCCAGUCAUCUGCGGAAGCUGCUGCUGACCAUCCGGGUCACGUAACUCGCGGAGCCAUUUCGGGAGCGGCACAGGGACUAUUUGGCUGAGACGCAUGCUCAUCUGUGUCAUGCCCCCUUUUCCUGUCCCCCCCCCCCCUCCCUUCUCAGUGCCAGAGACCCAGGCUUGUAUAACUUAUAAAAUGGCGGCGGCGGCGGGACAUUUGCUUACUUCCCGGGAUUAGCAAAGCAGCUAGAGGAUGACUCUAAGCAGAGUGGAGAAGCUGGCCAGUUAAUGUGUCAGGACGGAGUUUGACUCUGUAGCUCAAGGUGGCCUGGCAGUCGCCAUGUUGGAUGGGCCCUAAGCUUGCAGCAGGCCUCCUGACUCAGCCUCCCUCCCGGAUGCUGAGGUUACAACAAGAGCCACCAUGCCUACCUGAAGAGCUGGUGUUUAAAGGAAACUAAAGCCUGGUGAUUCGUUGUGCACAGGGGAAGCCUUUCUGUGGUCCUUUUUGCAUUCCUGGCCUCCAGCCAGAGCCAGGGCAUUUCCCACUUUCUGAGCAAAGACAAAACUCAGAGCUGUUGCUUUCAAGGUUCAUGCCCUAAGAUGUUUGAACAUCUUCUAGCUCCUGUCCUCAUCAACAGUCCCAGGCUGCCUGGGUCCUUCUCUAGUCCGUCUGCUAUCCAGAUUUACCCAAAGCACCAUGCAACACGUGAGCACUGUCCUCCUGACGUGUGAACUGAGACACCAGCCUCUGAUUCAAAGACUGCCACCUGAUAAUGAUGUCAGCAGCAAGUGGCCAGAGUGAUCUCAGUGCCACCUAGCCUCCGCCACCACCUCCUUUUCUAUAAAAUUGUCCCUCUGUUCCUUUUACAUGGACAAUAAGGCUGAAAAUACUAUGUCAUGUGUAGAGGUGACAGAAAACCUGCCUGGGCUGGAGAAAGGGGCUCGGGCAGACGGAAGUCCUGCUGCUGAUGGUAAGUAAGUGCAGGAGGGGUGCCCAGUGAGGUCUGGGGCUUCCUGGUGGUGCAGCAGGCUGUGUGGACAGCCUAGAUGACCAGAGCCAGCAGGAGACUGAAGGCCAGCAAAGACUGGCAUUUCUAGCUGGCAGCCGGAGAUCAAAGAACUCAUCCCUCCCCCAACAACUGCUUUCGGCGAUCCAAAGCAGGAAGAUAUGAAAGCCCAGCUUUCGACUCCCUUCUCUCCUUCCCUUCCCCCACUUCCUUCUGUUGGAGCACAGAGGAGAGGGAGAGGGAGAGGGAGCGGACAAGCACUAGCCUGGAUUGAAAACCCUCCCUGCUUUGUUCACUUCCCGGGCUGACAGCCAUUCUUCUGAUCUGACCUUAGUCGACCACGCUUCUUUUGCCUGAGCUUAUGCAGCAGCCUUGCCAUCAGCCCAGGUGCGACCUGCCAACGGGCCUUUGCCGUCGCCAGACUCCUAGUUAUGCCCUUCUGAGGACUUUAGACUCAGGCUCAUCCAGCGUCUGGGAGCUCCUAAGGCCUGCUGGAGACAUGCUGCAGGGCCCUGCCUUGGCUUCGCACUGCUCCUGUUCUGAAAGACUCAGCUCCUGCCUCGAGCAGGGGGCUCCUUCCUGCCUGGAGACCCACUGGUAGAGUAAACCUGAACAAACUGCUCCAGGCCCUGACCAAGCCCUGUAGUGAAACUCUAGCCCCUGCCUUGCCACAUCACUGCCACCGCCAAACUCAGUGGCCCGUUCUGAAGCGAAUCCUGAUAGCCUGGGCCGAGGCGGUUUCUAAAGAUAAAAUGGCCUCGUCUGGACAAACAACUCCAGGAGGGGAGAACUUCAGGCUUGCACUUAGCUCCAGCAGUUGGACUCUCCAAACCUCCUAUAUGAACUCCAAGUAUUCCUUCCCCUUCUGAAGACACCCCUUUCCCUCUGUGUCCGGCCCUAGCCAUUGGAACUAAACAGUCCGUUCUGCUGAGGUCAGAUGGGUCUCUUUUUCUGCUUCCUGUAUCUUAACACUGCCUCAGAAAUGUAACACCCACCAUUUCUGCCACUCAUCCUCGGCCUGCCCUCUGGAGACUCACUCUUCAGAGCACUGCUCUCAGACCCCGACAGUUGCCGGCAAGCUCCUGGUUGCCAUGCCAAGGCCUCAAGGAUUUAGAGCUACAACACUCUCACUCUUCUUGGUUGGCAUCCUGCAGUCACUGAGAGGUUGAGGGUUUCUACUUUCCCAUCUGAAUAGUUACUCUGGAGUGCUAAAUAUGAGUCCUUAUAGUCAAUGUUUCUUAGCCCCCCUCUUAGCACCCCAGUCACGUAAGGGAAGCAAGACAAGAAUCCUACAGGAAGACUUGACCCUCUCACUAGGAGAUAUGAUGCCUCAAAACCACUCGGUCCCGAUGCUCCAUCACGCUUGAGGAUGAGCUAUUGGGGUGAGUAGGCCUGGGAACUAGGCAGCCCAUGGAGGCUGGUCAGGUGAUGGCUUCCCCUUCCUGAUGUGUACAGUUGUUGUGUAUGCAUGUAUGUCUGUGUACCACACGCAUACCGUGUCAGCAGAGGCCAGAAGAGAAGGCAUUUGAUCCCCUAGAACUGGAGUUAGCGGCCAUGUGUGUGCUGAGACUUGAACCCAGGUCCUCUGGAAGAACAACCAGUGCUCUCAACUACUGAGCCAUCUCUCCAACCCUGAUAGCCAUUUUCUUGGUGAAUUUUCCCUUACCUAAGAAGUAACUCUGCAGGAAGUCAUAAAGAUGGUAGUCUCUCCCAGAUGGGGGUCUGUGUGAGACAGAACUCUAGGCUUCACCAUUCAGAAAAGAUGGAUGUGAUGCAGCUCUUCUCAAAGGGUUUCAUGCCUGGCACCCAGAGUUUUACUGCAUCCGUCUUAAACCAGCUUCUGCACACGGUGGAAUAGGACACGCCGCAGCAGGGGUUUCACACCUUCAAAAGCUGCCCAUUGCCUUCAUGCUCCUUCUUAGCCACCUCACAAAGAGUGGCUCCUUCCCCAUCAGGGCCAUGCUGUUGAAGAUGAAGUGGAGGUCCAGAGAAAGGUUGUUGGGGGCUCACAGCUGCCAGUUGCCAGGAGACUGGUGGCAGCCUCCACUUUAGUGGAAGGGAAACUGCUGAGUGUGGGAGCUCCUGGCUGGCCAGCAAAGGGCUGACCACACACACAAAACUGCUGUUGGCUGGUGCAGGACACAGAUGACCGUGAAGCUGGGUCAGGAACUUUCAAAAGCAAACUAGUGUGGAGAAAAGAGAAGAGCUUCCUGAUUCUUUUCUUUGUUUUGGUUUAUUUCGAGACAGGGUUCCUCUUGCAACCGUCCUGACUGUCCUGGAACUCGCUCUGUAGACCGGGCUAGCCUUGAACUCACAGAGAUCCUCCUGCCUACUGAGUGCUAGGAUUAAAGGUGUGCGCCACCAUCUCCCGGCUGCUCCUUCAUUGUUUAAACCCCCAACACUCUUGAAGCUAGAGACAGAUCUACAAGAUCAUCGAGCCUAUGUCCAAAUAACAUUUCUUUUCUCACAGUUCUGGGGGCAGUCACCUGAGGCCAAAGCAUCAGAACGUUUGGUUCCUUCUGUGCCGCACGAGGAAAGGAUGUCUUCAGACUUACAAAUGCCUGUCUUCUCCCUGUCUUCACACUGUCUUCCCUUUGUGCUUCAAGACUCUUACUGUCUCUCCGCCAUUACUCUAUUCCCAAUCCUCUUUUAAGCGUUUGUGCCUUUUUGAAGUAGCCCCUACUUUGACCCAGCCAUGGGGAAGGCAACAAAUCACAUUUCAGCCCCACACAGGAAGCAAAGAGAAACAGGAAACAGGGCUAGACUAUGAAACCUCAAAGCUCUCCUCAAGUGAUUUAUUUCCUCUCGAAAGAUUCCACCUCCUGAAGGUUCCAUAGCCUUCUGCUACAAUCUUGCAUGGCCUCAAGGAUUGACCUGACUUGGGGGCAGCCAGGGAAUAAAGACAGACAAAUGAACACACAGACAAGCUGGGGUUAACUGGACUGGGUUCUCUGAUGGAGAAAUCACAAAAGCCUGGAAGCACAGCAUGUUUAUUAUAUAGAGUACAACAGGGAGGUGGAUUAUUGCACACUGAUAAACAAGGAGGUAGGUAGGGUUUAUAGUAUACAGUUGGAUCAAGGAGAGAGGGUUAGCUAGUCUCAGUAGGCACAGUCUACCAUUCUUCAGGCCAUAAAAUAUCCAUUGGGGAGGAAGUCAUAGUGGUCAUUUUAUGCACACACUAUCAUCAGCAUUUGCACUCCGACCCUUAAGGAAGUCUUUAUCAUCUCUCUGAACUUCAUGGGGAUGAGGAGGGGACUUUGUCACUCAGUGGGGCUGAGGCUAUGAUUCCUGACAUGGCGGUGCCCACGUCAAUGACACACAUUAACUCAGGAUGAUCUCCCAAACAGCACCACCAAUUGGAGACCAAAUACUGGAACACACGGGCCUAUGGGGGAUGUUUCCUAUUCACAUCACAACAGCUUCCAUGCAGGCCCAAAACUUAGAAGGGCAAAUUCUGUUUGACUUUAGGGCUCAAAUGUACUCCUUGUUUGGGACCAGUGAGAUGGCUCACUAGGUAAUGGGAGUUGCCACCUGCUACCAAGCCUGCUAGUUUAAAUUCAAUCCCCAGGAACUGCAUGGUAGAAAGAGAGAACUGACUCCCACAAGUUGUCCUCUGAAUGCCACAUGUAUGACACAUGUGCUUUCUUCCCUACAUACACACAAAAUAAAAUAAUGUAAAUAAAAUAAAACUUUUGUUUAAUCCUCUGUCUCCUGAACCCACCCAAGUGGUGGCCAAGUCAUCUCUUUUCUGGGAAUCAGCUCUGAGAAGUUGAAUGCUGGCACCAACAAUUAGAUACCUGGCUAGCUAGAAUUUGGGGGAGAGGCCCCGUCCUCUGGAUCAGACAAGCAGACAUUUGGGAAGCAGAGGCAGGAGGAUUUCUGCAAGUUCAAGACCAGCCUGAUUUAGAGAGUGAGCCCUAGAUCAGCCAAAGCUUCAUAGCAGGACCCUGUCGCAGACAAAGAUGGAAGGUGGAGGGAUAUGAAUCUUAAAGGUGCUUUGGAUGAGGAUGAGGGCUUGGAUGGAAAUUUGAGACAUGUUACUGGAGAGCUGAAGCACGGCAAUUCUUGUGAUAAGGUGGCAAGAUGGCUAUCUUCCACCGGGUUCUUGUCCGUCCUUCCUCCAAGAAUGGAGUGAGAAGACAAGGAGUAAAAACAGAAGGACAGAAGGUACUCAGUUGUCCAUUCAUGAUUAACAACUUGUGCAGGGGUAAAACAACUCAAGACAACUGAGGCCGCCCUUCAACGCCUCAUCUUCACGUCUCCACUUCCGGAGUACCAGGAAUACAAGUGAGAGCAACACAUAGCUCUGUCUCAGUUUUAACAGCUGAAUUAUAUUCCAUCAUAUAAAAGUAGUACUGAUAUUUCUUUCUCCAAGGGAGCAUUACCAAGAAUUCAUUGAUAAUGUAUUUAGAAAAUGCAGCCUAUGAGUUCAGUCCGUCAAUUCACAGUGGAAGGAGUGAACAACUCCUGAGAGCUGUCCUCUUAAACCUCCACAGGCACACUGAGGCAUGACCUCUCUCUCUCUCUUUCUAGAGAUCUCUGUCUCCAAUAAUGUCUUAAGGGCCAGUGAGAUGGCUCAGCAGGUUGUGGCACUUGUCAUGUUUGAUCUCUGGAACCCACAUAAAGACAGAAGGAGAGAACAGAUCCCCUCAGUUUGUCUUUAUUACCAUCAUGCUCAAAACACGGCAUGCAUGUGCCCACCCCAGUGUUAUUCUUAGUUGUAAAUCUGGCAAUGGCAGAGCCUCUUGCAGCCUUGACAGAAUAGCUACGGUCCUCCUGGGGUGCCAGCACUGGAACCUGGGGAGCACUGAAGGAAACCUACAUUUUCCUUGAGCUCUUUUCUGCAUUCCACUCUCUCUGCUUAGACACUCAGGCUGGGCAACGGGAUCCAUACCUGUGAGCCCAGCACUUGGGAGGUGGAGGAAAGAAGAUUAGGAGUU